Phrynosoma platyrhinos (Desert horned lizard) is the source of this 71-nucleotide non-coding RNA. The record is from the annotation of a GenBank genome assembly. NCBI's taxonomy places the organism in Eukaryota, Metazoa, Chordata, Lepidosauria, Squamata, Phrynosomatidae.
GACAGCGUGGGGUAGUGGUUCAAGCAUUGGACUAACACUCGGGAGGCUAAGGUUCGAUUCCGUGCCUGACC